AUGCGGCUCGACAGAAGAUAGUUGAUCUUGAGGCUAAAGUUGCUGACUUGACCUCGAAGGUAGAGGAGGCGCAGGGAGAGAAGGCUGCCAAACAGCAGGUGGAGGUUGAAUUGUCUGAGGUCAAACUACAGCUGUCCAGCAAGGACAGAGAUCUCCACGCCAAGGACGCUGAGAUUGCGGAGCUCAAACGUCGCUUAAACGAGCAAAUUGACAGAUGCGAGUCGUUGGAGAUCGACCUGGAAGCCGAGAGGGUUAAGGCUGCUACGGCUGAGGAGGCGCGUGCUGUUAGCACUGCUGCGCUGAAUGUGGCCCAAACCAACUACUCCGAGGCUCAAGGCAUCGUCGAUACGCUUGUCUCAGAAGCUGAAUGGAUGCGCACUCGUGGAGUAGUGCUGGUGAGUUGCCAACUCCAUCCUGA
Molecule: long non-coding RNA, 418 nt
Filed under: Helianthus annuus (common sunflower)
Lineage: Eukaryota; Viridiplantae; Streptophyta; Magnoliopsida; Asterales; Asteraceae
Source: RNAcentral